AUUUCCUUCGGGACUGAUUAUUUUGUGACUGAGUGGCGGACGGGUGAGUAACGCGUGGGUAACCUGCCUUGUACAGGGGGAUAACAGUUGGAAACGGCUGCUAAUACCGCAUAAGCGCACAGCAUCGCAUGAUGCAGUGUGAAAAACUCUGGUGGUAUAAGAUGGACCCGCGUUGGAUUAGCUAGUUGGUGAGGUAACGGCCCACCAAGGCGACGAUCCAUAGCCGACCUGAGAGGGUGACCGGCCACAUUGGGACUGAGACACGGCCCAAACUCCUACGGGAGGCAGCAGUGGGGAAUAUUGCACAAUGGGCGAAAGCCUGAUGCAGCGACGCCCGCGUGAGCGAAGAAAGUAUUUCGGUAUGUAAAGCUCUAUCAGCAGGGAAGAUAAUGACGGUACCUGACUAAGAAGCACCGGCUAAAUACGUGCCAGCAGCCGCGGUAAUACGUAUGGGUGCAAGCGUUAUCCGGAUUUACUGGGUGUAAAGGGAGCGCAGGCGGUGCGGCAAGUCUGAUGUGAAAGCCCGGGGCUCAACCCCGGUACUGCAUUGGAAACUGUCGUACUAGAGUGUCGGAGGGGUAAGCGGAAUUCCUAGUGUAGCGGUGAAAUGCGUAGAUAUUUAGGAGGAACACCAGUGGCGAAGGCGGCUUACUGGACGAUAACUGACGCUGAGGCUCGAAAGCGUGGGGAGCAAACAGGAUUAGAUACCCUGGUAGUCCACGCUGUAAACGAUGAAUACUAGGUGUUGGGAAGCAUUGCUUCUCGGUGCCGUCGCAAACGCAGUAAGUAUUCCACCUGGGGA
Molecule: ribosomal RNA, 802 nt
Filed under: uncultured bacterium
Lineage: Bacteria
Description: bacterial SSU rRNA
Rfam family: Bacterial small subunit ribosomal RNA
Source: RNAcentral